This 391-nucleotide ribosomal RNA is filed under the name uncultured bacterium. Its description in RNAcentral is "bacterial SSU rRNA". It matches the Rfam family "Bacterial small subunit ribosomal RNA", at positions 28 to 412 of the family's 1533-position model. The record is from RNAcentral.
GACGAACGCUGGCGGCGCGCUUAACACAUGCAAGUCGAGCGAGAACCAGGGCUUCGGCCCUGGGGAAAGCGGCGAACGGGUGAGUAACACGUGAGUAACCUGUCCUCGGCACCGGGAUAGCCCGGGGAAACCCGGAUUAAUACCGGAUGGCCUUUCGAGUCCUCGGACUCGUCAGAAAAGGGAGCUUCGGCCUCCGGCCGAGGAGGGACUCGCGGCGGAUUAGCUUGUUGGUGAGGUAACGGCCCACCAAGGCGACGAUCCGUAGCUGGUCUGAGAGGACGAUCAGCCACACUGGGACUGAGACACGGCCCAGACUCCUACGGGAGGCAGCAGUGGGGAAUCUUGCGCAAUGGGCGAAAGCCUGACGCAGCGACGCCGCGUGCGGGAAGAC